This is a long non-coding RNA of Pan troglodytes (chimpanzee), 2924 nucleotides long. RefSeq lists it as uncharacterized. Lineage: Eukaryota; Metazoa; Chordata; Mammalia; Primates; Hominidae. The transcript has 3 exons. The record is from RefSeq and is a predicted model, not a curated record.
AUUAGACUGUAUCUCGGGUAUUCCCAGCCCUUCAUCCUACCAAUGAGAUGGCUGAGUCUUGAGAGGGGAGGAGAAUUUCCUAAGAUCUCUGCCCAGAGAUUGCCAUGAAUGAGGAGGCCCGGCCAGAUUACCUGGAUUCCAGCCUGCACUCAAAGAUCACUAGUGUGGCUCGGGCACGUGCAUCAGUCAAGCUCUAUCAUCCUGACUGAUGCCUUCUCUCUCAUGUCCUAGCAGAGGGGUGCUUGGAGUCAUGGUGCCAGCUGGAAGCCCCAGAAUGUGAAAUACAAAGAGUCAAAUAACUGUUUUAAUGAUAUAAGUAUAUAGCAACUGUAAUAUCUACAUAUUAAUACAUAGAUAUGGAGAUAUAAAGCAAUAGAAUAUAGAUUUAAAGGAAUAGAUGCAUAGAGGGAGUGUAUGCCCAGAGAAAAUUUCUAAAAAGGGGCACAAGAAAUGAUCAUUAUCUCUGAGGACUGCAGAGUUGGGAUGUCAGGAGUUUUUCAUCUUUUUCACAGCACCUCUUUCUUUUUACCAUUUGAAUUAUUUUUACCAUACAUGUGUAGUGCUGUAACAGUAAAAAGUUGUUUUUAAAGACCAGCUAUCUCAUUCAAAAAAUGAAUUCAAAGUAAAGGCCUAUGGAAAAGCAUUUCUGAUAUUAAUAACUUGAUUACACAAUCAGAAUCUUCUUCCAAGACUUCCAGCCUCCCUUUUGCAGAUGGAUCUCGGAAUUCAGGUUUCCUUCAUUAACAUCCCAGGUUGUCUCCAUGCUUUGAGGGUUUCAGUUCCAAAUUGGGUCUCUGAGAGGGAGAGGAAGCCAGAGAGACAUUCUGAGGACAAGAGAGAAAGAAGAGUCAUAAUCCUCUUAGAUAACUGGAGUGUGAUCCCAGAGGUGUCUAAAAGAACAGACAACUGGCCGGGUGCGGUGGCUCACACCUGUAAUCCCAGCACUUUCGAAGGCUGAGAUGGGUGGAUCGGGAAGUCAAGAGAUCAAGACCAUCCUGACCAACAUGGUGAAAUCCUGUCUCUACUAAAAAUACAAAACUUAGCUGGGUGUGGUGGUGCGCGCCUGUGUUCCCAGCUACUUAGGAGGCUGAGGCAGGAGAAUCACUUGAACCCGGGAGGCGGAGGUUGCAGUGAGCUGAGAUCGCACCACUGUACUCCAGCUUGGCUACAGAGCUAGACUCCCUCUCAAAAAAAAAAAAAAAAAAAAGAAGAAGAAGAAGAAGAAGAAGAAGAAGAAGAAGAACAGAGAACCACAAGAAUCAAGGACUCCUGGACCUGGGAAAGGCCCUUGCUUCAUGAAGGAGCCCAGGGCCGGUGCUGAGGUUCCCAGCCAAAGGGAAUGCAAACUCAUUCUGUAACUCAUUUUCUUUCCUGCUGGGACUAUUUCUGAUCACAGGCUAUGCGUGUGGGUACCAUUCAUGUUUCUUGAAGCUAUUUGGAGUAUUUUGGAGGCUAUAUCCAAAGGCCAUUUCUGGAGUUCUUAGCUAAAUGAUUAAAAUAAACAACAACAACAAACCUAAAAUCAACAACAUGACCUCUGCCAAUUUUCCUAUCACCCGUUGGAAUCUCUGGUCAAGAAACUGCAAAUAUUAAUAUUUCACUGGGAUGUUUGGUGGGAAGUAGGGAGGGAAAUGUCCAUACCAAAAGCUUCCAAGUGAAAUGUUCUGGCUGACACCUCCAAGAGAAAGUGAAAGCUAGAAUGGCAGAAGCCAUUGGUGGAGAAGGAACAUGCAGGCAGGAGAAGUCCCUGGAACCUGGAUGGAAAGAAAGUCGGAAUAGACUUCUUCAUGGGCUGCAGAAAGAAAAAGUCUUGGCUGUGAUGAGAGGACUGUUUCCAGCAGGCAAAUUUCAGCAGCUUAAUCUCAGUCACAAAGGAGAUCUUAUCCAUGAGACAGGAGCUCAGGUGCCACAGAGAAAUCUGUCUGGGGAGUCUGCAGGCGGCCCACGUGUGCCAGUGAUGAAGACAGAUUCCACUGGAGCCACUGAGCACCAUCUUAGCACCCUGCAGGGCCAAGAAGCCACACCAGCCCCAGGGAAGAGAUAAUUUGCAAGGCAGCUACUGGCACGCACCAUUCUCCUCACUUCCUUCCCAGCCUUUUUAUCUUCUCCAAUGUGCUGGAAAAAGAGAUUUUGAUGGAAACUAGAAUACCCAUGAAGAGUAAGGUUGAGGUCAUGGAAGAUGAAGAUUAAGAGUGAAGAAAAAGAGCAAGUGGAGGAACAAACACAAAAUUAAAUAAAUCACAGAAAUGCUUGACACUUCAGGUUGAAGAUGCUCUCAGUGUAUCAGGUUGUGUUUUGUUUUGUCUUUUUACCUUAGAAAAUGAGAAGACACACCUAUAUUUAUCCCAGUGAAAUUUCAGAUUUUCAAAGAUAAAGGAAAAUUCCCAAAGGACAUAGACAGUAAAACCAGGUUAACUAUAGGAUUUGUCUCCAGGCUUCUCUGCAAUAUAAUCAUGCCAAAGAUCAUGGAAUAAGAUCCACAGAGUUUAGAGGGGAAAGGAUGUGGCUCAUGACUUGUAAACCAGGACAAUUUAUCAUCAUAGCAUCAGAAAAUGACAAACGUAGUUUGAGAUAGGCAAGUAUUCCAAGAGCAAAUUAUCCAUGUUACAGUAAAAAUAUCCAGGAAGAAAGUGAAAGAGGUAAACAAUAGUGAUACCAAUGAAACAAAGUAUCCCAGUGAAUAAUUGCUGUUUCUGUGGUUAUGAGAUACACUUAAAAUGUCCAAAUGGUUUUUAAAGAGAAAUUGCAGAGUAAAAAACCUACUUGUAAUAUUCUGGUUUUAAAAUCUGAGAUAAUUCUAAUGUAAUCUGGGAGAUAGAGAAAAAAGAGGAAACUUUUAAAAGCAAGCUGAAUUCCUCAUCUUAUUUGAGGCAUUGAGGUUUUAUUGUUAUAACAGAGAAAUAAAGGCUUACAUGCUUUUAAUG